Molecule: long non-coding RNA, 1035 nt
Organism: Nycticebus coucang (slow loris)
Lineage: Eukaryota; Metazoa; Chordata; Mammalia; Primates; Lorisidae
Exons: 3
Source: RefSeq, a predicted model, not a curated record
AACCGGGGGUCCCCAGAGCCAGCUCCCCCUGCCGCCUCCGCGCCGGAGGCCGUCGGGGCGAUGGCGCAAGACUCCGCUCCCCCCACCCCCCACAGCGACAACAGCCACGGUGACAAAAUGGCAGCCCGGCGCCCGGCAGUCGUGCCACAGGCGCGCAGGGCCUUGGCGGCUGCCCCCGCCCCCCCAAAACGCCACGGCGCCCUUCGGGCUCAGCUCCGGGCGGGCCUAGCAGUUAAAAAUCGUAGUAACAAAUAAAAGAGCCGGAGCUCGAAAUCAGCGAGAAGAGGCGAGAGGCCUGCCCGGCGCCCCCGCCGCCCGCCAGCGCCCCGCGCCGCAGGGAGCCCGGAGCCCACAUUCCGAGCCCCACGCUCCGAGCCCGCCGCGCCGUGGGGGAGGGGCGGGGCGGGCCGCGAGAGACCCGGGAAACAUGGCUGCUCGUCCUAUUUCGGCUUCGCGGCGUGGCCACCAGCCCCCGGAUCCGAGUUGGGAGAGGUUCUGAAGGUGGGUGUUUCCAAAAAUUGCUUUGAAGGUGGACUAGGCACUGGCCUUGGUGCAUAGCUUCCCAACGGGAGUACAUCAAAGGUGACCAUAGUGACAUUCAGCAAUGAGGUGCAUUACGCAGGGGCUGGCGUCUGGGCGCUGCGGGCCGGUCAGUACGCGCGGCAUCGGGGCUCCCAGGGCUGCCGGCUGCUGCGAAGAUGGAAGUGGACGCUGAAGGGGUCAGCUCCGGAGAGCCUGCCGGGAAGCAUCUGUCCAGCACCUGGCUGUCACGGCCUGGGAAGAAUAACAGAUUCCCCUCCCAUUCUACCUUCCAAAUUCCCCCCAAAUUCCUGUCUGGGCAAACGCCAGCCUGGAGGGUGGGCAUUCUGGGAAGUGUAGUCCCUGCUGCUCUGCAUUGCGGAGGAGGGGUGGGAGCGACGCUGGGGCAGCCUCCGUCUACCCAGCGCUGCCUGCUAGGGGCGUCUGCAGACCGUCCCGAGGCUGACCCGUCUGUCAGGCAAGUGGUCAGGAGGCCGCAGUUGAGCAGGAACGUUC